GAGGUCUGUGAUGAUGCUAACACACUUCUUUUUGAGUUUCACGACUAUGAGACAACCUUAUUACAUGCACUACCAUCUGAGACCAC
Molecule: small nucleolar RNA, 86 nt
Filed under: Alligator mississippiensis (American alligator)
Lineage: Eukaryota; Metazoa; Chordata; Crocodylia; Alligatoridae
Source: RNAcentral